CGGUGUCUGUGAUGUCGCUUUUACCUACAUUGUUUGACUCCUGCUGAGAAAAACAAAACAAACCUGAGACACCA
Catharus ustulatus (Swainson's thrush) is the source of this 74-nucleotide small nucleolar RNA. Its record names the gene SNORD34. It matches the Rfam family "Small nucleolar RNA SNORD34". Rfam says of the family: snoRNA U34 is found in intron 5 of the ribosomal protein L13a gene in humans. U34 is a member of the C/D class of snoRNA which contain C (UGAUGA) and D (CUGA) box motifs, and functions in directing site-specific 2'-O-methylation of 25S rRNAs. The record is from Ensembl. Lineage: Eukaryota; Metazoa; Chordata; Aves; Passeriformes; Turdidae.